Molecule: non-coding RNA, 865 nt
Organism: Schizosaccharomyces pombe (fission yeast)
Lineage: Eukaryota; Fungi; Ascomycota; Schizosaccharomycetes; Schizosaccharomycetales; Schizosaccharomycetaceae
Source: the annotation of a GenBank genome assembly
CCAAGAUUGGAGACCAAAAUAGUUUAACUCCCAUUCAUUUGUUGCUUCUUCUGGAUGGCUAAUAGUUGUUGAAAGAACCCUUUCAAAAACUUUCGUAAAAAGGUGCACUUCUUCCAUCCUCUCGAAGCCAAAAGUUUCAAAUAAUAAACCAAACAGCUGCAUACUUACACGGACCAAAUUUUUCCCGGCUUUCUCAACUGAAGUCCAAUGACUCAACAACUGUCGAAUCAAAUUAAAAUUCUCAUUGUCAGCACGUUGAUAUACGAGCUUUAUUAAUUCUGCAGACAUCUCUCUACAAUGAGGUUCUGAGUCAUUAGCUAGCACCAUAACUAGAGCAAUAAAUAUUCCUUGAUGAUACUCUUUCAAUAAAGCAUCACUAAAAUUAUUCAAGAUAAGAUGCAAGAGCUCCAUUACAGAUUCGCGUCCGGGUGCGAAUUCAUAUUCCAAGUUCUUAAGAAUAAAUGAUAUUUGCUUGGAUAGUCGAGUUUUACCCUGGGGAUAAUCAAGAAGAAAUGAAUAAUACAAAUGACGACAAGUUUGACGAGUGGAUUUAGUAUGAUUUGUCACCAUCAUAUCUCGUAUUAAAUCAAUUAUUUUGUACAGUUCAGGAGUCAUGAUUUUGCGAGCAAUAACCGCUCUAACCAACGAAAACAUAACACCUUGACGAUCAGGUUCUUGAAUAUCAGUUCCAACCCUUUCCAGUAAAUAGUUUAUAGUCGAUUCCUUAAUCUUUACAUUUUCAUAAGGUAAAAUAGAUGCUAAAAACUUAAAACUUGCUUGACAUAAUUCUGUGUUUGUAGAAGGCGAAUUCUGUAUAUAUUUCACAGCCUGAGACGUGAAGACUGAACUACCCGAAAAAACCUGA